This 253-nucleotide ribosomal RNA is filed under the name uncultured bacterium. Its description in RNAcentral is "partial 16S ribosomal RNA". It matches the Rfam family "Bacterial small subunit ribosomal RNA", at positions 524 to 776 of the family's 1533-position model. The record is from RNAcentral.
UACGUAGGGUGCAAGCGUUAAUCGGAAUUACUGGGCGUAAAUCGUGCGCAGGCGGUUUUGUAAGUCUGACGUGAAAGCCCCGGGCUCAACCUGGGAAUUGCGUUGGAGACUGCAAGGCUUGAAUCUGGCAGAGGGGGGUAGAAUUCCACGUGUAGCAGUGAAAUGCGUAGAGAUGUGGAGGAACACCGAUGGCGAAGGCAGCCCCCUGGGUCAAGAUUGACGCUCAUGCACGAAAGCGUGGGGAGCAAACAGG